Molecule: ribosomal RNA, 816 nt
Filed under: Triticum aestivum (bread wheat)
Lineage: Eukaryota; Viridiplantae; Streptophyta; Magnoliopsida; Poales; Poaceae
Description: partial small subunit ribosomal RNA
Source: RNAcentral
AUGACCGCUCAGGGUAAUAUUUUUAGCUCGAUGAUGAUUAAUGCAGGUUUUCCCAUUGUCAGGCUCAACACCUUCCUCAGGUCUGCAGUCAUGCCUAUCAUUGCAGCAUAUGGCCCAUGGAGCUCUGGUUUUGGUCUUAGAGAUGCCCGAGUGGAGUUUAGAGUUGCAAUCACUGAAGAGGAGGGCACGCUCACUAUUACUGAAGCCACCAAGAUGGUCACCUUGCAUAACUCCACUAAUGCUAUUGUUGAGCAGAUGCCCAUGGAAGCUAUUUUUUCAGUGUCUGAACUGAAUGAGGUGGACUCAGUUACUUCUCACAGCAUCUCUACUCUGAAUCCUAGGUUGGAGAGCACGGUCCCCCAUGAGAUUUCCUUGCUGCAAAUGCCUGACCCCAAUGAUCUUCCUCCUUCUGAUGACCUGCCUACCCAAGUGCUUGCUGUGACUGAUCUUUCUGCCCCGGAUGGCCUGCCUACCCAAAUGCCUGCUGUGGUUAGUCGUCUUGGGAAGGCCCCUGCUCCUGAAUCCUUUGUUAAUCUGCGACGGAGCACUCGCAAGAACAAGUAUGAUGGCUUCAAAGUGCCAUCACUCUCAGAGACAAAGAGCAGAGCUUCUAAGGUGAAACCACGGGUUGUUCCUUCCGCUGCAACUUCCAUCUCCAUAACUGAACUCCCUGACGAAGCAGAACUGCCGCCUCCCACCCCGAUCCCAGUCAUUCAGCAUAUUGGCAAUGUUAUGUGUGGAAUCCCAGUCGCUGAACUUUCGGAGGAGGAGCUCCUGGCUAGCAAGGACGCAGGGCAAUCUUCUGAUGCUGCUUGA